ACCUAAUGCUGACUAAAGGAAAAAGUUCAGUUUAGGGUUUAAAACCCUAAUGCUGACUAAAGGAAAAAGUUUAGUUUAGGGUUUAAAACCCUAAUGCUGACUAAAGGAAAGAGUUCAGUUUAGGGUUUAAAACCCUAAUGUUGACUAAAGGAAAAGAGUUCAGUUUAGGGUUUAAAACCCUAAUGCUGACUGAAGGAAAAAGUUCAGUUUAGGGUUUAAAACCUUAAUGCUGACUAAAGGAAAAGUUCAGUUUAGGGUUUAAAACCCUAAUGCUGACUAAAGGAAAAAGUUCAGUUUAGGGUUUAAAACCCUAAUGCUGACUAAAGGAAGAAAAAAAAAAGUUCAGUUUAGGGUUUAAAACCCUAAUGCUGACUAAAGGAAAAAGUUUAGUUUAGGGUUUAAAACCCUAAUGCUGACUAAAGGAAAAAGUUUAGUUUAGGGUUUAAAACCUUAAUGCUGAUUGAAGGAAAAGAGUUCAGUUUAGGGUUUAAAACCCUAAUGCUGACUAAAGGAAAAAGAGUUCGGUUUAGGGUUUAAAACCAUAAUGCUGACUGAAGGAAAGAGUUCAGUUUAGGGUUUAAAACCCUAAUGCUGACUAAAGGAAAGAGUUCAGUUUAGGGUUUAAAACCCUAAUGCUGUCUAAAGGAAAAGUUCAGUUUAGGGUUUAAAACCCUAAUGCUGACUAAAAGAAAAGUUCAGUUUAGGGUUUAAAACCCCUAAUGCUGACUAAAGUAAAAAGUUCAGUUUAGGGUUUAAAGCCCUAAUGCUGACUAAAGGAAAAAGUUCAGUUUAGGGUUUAAAACCCUAAUGCUGACUAAAGGAAAAGAGUUCAGUUUAGGGUUUAAAACCCUAAUGCUGACUAAAGGAAAAGAGUUCAGUUUAGGGUUUAAAACCCUAAUGCUGACUAAAGGAAAAGAGUUCAGUUUAGGGUUUAAAACCCUAAUGAUGACUAAAGGAAAAGUUCAGUUUAGGGUUUAAAACCCUAAUGCUGACUAAAGGAAAAGUUCAGUUUAGAGUUUAAAACCCUAAUGCUAACUAAAGGAAAGAGUUCAGUUUAGGGUUUAAAACCCUAAUGCUGACUAAAGGAAAGAGUUCAGUUUAGGGUUUAAAACCCUAAUGCUGUCUAAAGGAAAAGUUCAGUUUAGGGUUUAAAACCCUAAUGAUGACUAAAGGAAAAGAGUUCAGUUUAGGGUUUAAAACCCUAAUGCUGACUAAAGGAAAAGAGUUCAGUUUAGGGUUUAAAACCCUAAUGCUGACUAAAGGAAAAGAGUUUAGUUUAGGGUUUAAAACCCUAAUGCUGACUAAAGGAAAAGAGUUCAGUUUAGGGUUUAAAACCCGAAUGCUGACAAAAGGAAAAGAGCUCAGUUUAGGGUUUAAAACCCUAAUGCUGACUGAAGGAAAAAGUUCAGUUUAGGGUUUAAAACCCUAAUGCUAACUAAAGGAAAAGUUCAGUUUAGGGUUUAAAACCCUAAUGCUAACUAAAGGAAAGAGUUCAGUUUAGGGUUUAAAACCCUAAUGCUGACUAAAUGAAAAAGUUUAGUUUAAGGUUUAAAACCCUAAUGCUGACUGGCUGG
Molecule: long non-coding RNA, 1574 nt
Filed under: Nicotiana tabacum (common tobacco)
Lineage: Eukaryota; Viridiplantae; Streptophyta; Magnoliopsida; Solanales; Solanaceae
Description: long non-coding RNA (NTAB_LNC011077)
Source: RNAcentral